CUCACAGCUAUUGGGUCACUGAUUCCCUGAUUUCUCUAAAACCAAUUAUGUAGGGCCAUAAAGGGUCUUGAAAGGACUCUAACUUUUACUCCAAGUGAGAUGGGAAACCGCUGAUGGGAAAUGGGUAGUAGAACCACAGGAUGUGACUGAGCAUUUUUAGGGGAUCACACUGGCUUUCCUGCAAAGAAUAGGCUGUACAAAGUUAAGAGUACAAUCAGGAGACUUGGUAGGGAGGUGGACGUAAUCAAUAAUCCAGGUUAAGAAAUGUUGGUGUCUCGGGUCAAGAUGCUAACUGCAGAUAUGGUUGGAUUAUGGCUACAUUUGGAAUUAACUUCCCACCAUCAUUUCUAGCGCCUUAAUUCAUGUAGUUCUUUAGUGCAAUUUCUAACUUAAUAUCUAUCCCAGCAUAUAAUAAUUUUUGUAUAUAUAUUAGUCUACUCCAGACAGAAAUUUGUCAAAAAGCAGGACAUCCUCUUAUUAUCCCCUUGUAUUUGUAACUUUCUAGCAUACUAAGGGUACCCAAUGAAUAUUUGUGAAAUGAGUGCAUGGAUACGCAUCCUUACAGAUACAAAUUAGCAUUGUUUUUUAAAAAGCUUCAAAACCUAAGAGGGCCAUGUAAACCAUAUAAACCAAGAAUUACUUGGAAAAUAUUUCUAAAGAAGUGACCCAACAGUGUGGUGGGAGCAAAUCAGAAGUAAUGGCAAAUGUUAGAGUUUUUAAAUAUUUAUAGCCAAUUUGUAUUCUUAAGAGUAUUUCAUCUAUUUAUAUUACUGAUCUGCAUGAAGUAAACAGAUGCUUCCAGUAGCACAUACUUCUACAACUAGUUGUUUCUUGACCAACACAUUUUAGUAAAAUGACAGUUUUAGUGCUUGUUUUAAUGAUGAUAUUGCAAAAUAAUUAUAGUAACCAUUAUUUAUGUGUUUAUGAGUGUGUGCAUUUGUGUAUCAUGAAUGAACUAGAGCAAAGAAGCCCAUAAUAUUGUCCACUAAAGUGGUCCAUAGGCCAAACUAGCCAAAAUGGAAUUGUAAAUUCCAUUUUAAUAUUUGAUAAACCAAUACCCUAUAUCUAUAUUAUAUACACAAAUGUUUAUAAGUAUAAAUCUGCAAGAUUUAUCUAAUAAAUUAGAGUUGCGAUCCUAAUUUUUUCAGCUAAAUGUAAUUUUCCAAGCAAUGGUUAAACCUAACUUAACAAAAUAUCUACACCGAAAUAUGACCCUUUUCUGGUGAUAGUAACCUUCAUUAUCAUCAUUUAUUCUAGACCUUCAAGGAAUGUGUUGACCAUUAAGUCCCAAUAUUUUUAUACUCUAUUGUGAUCCUCUGAAAAUGGAUCAUUCUGAGUGAGCACACCAAAUGAAGUUUUUUAAAAGAGGAGGGGAGGUUUUGCUGUCAUCAAACUGACCUAAUACUGGGAGGACAAUGAACACUUGGUCUAAAUGGAAGAAGCAGAAAAAUAAACACUAUCGUGUCAAGAACAAUCAAUCAACCUUUUGAACAUCUUCUAGAGUGAUUUGACUGGUGCACCAGCAAGUUAGAUAAACUUUGAGUCACCCAACUAGCAAUGAUCACACUUAUGUUCCUUGUGACAUUAGUGCUAGUGCACAGCCAAGCAUACAGGAAGACAGAGCACUGUCUCACAACCUGUGGAUUUGAUUUCUGAGAGGUCAUGACAAAGAUGCAAAAUCCAAAAGGGUAAACUUCGACUCCAGAUCUCACUUACAUGCAACUUGAAUGGCAAGUGCCGCCCUAGAAACAGGCUGGAUGCUCCUGGAACGUGGGCUGGGAUGUGUUCUGUGCCACAUUCCCGAGCCUUCUUUCUGGCUGGCAUUGAUAAAAGUCCUUUUUAAGGCCUACCCUGUUUCUUUGGGCCUGGAAGCAAGAAUGUUUAUAGACAUCCUGGUGAGAGAAGGCUGUUUGAUGAAUGCAGGAGACUGCGGCUAGGUGUCAGCACUUGGAAAAUGAGGCAAGGACAUGAGGUAUUAAUAUUGUCAAUGAUCUCUUGACAGGAAAACAGAUACUGCAUUCACUGUCAGAUUUAAAUAGACAUCAAGUGCAUUAACGACAAAAGGGCAGACUUCAAACAAAGGGGCUGUGUGGUGAAGAGCCGAGCUAGUCUCUGUGCUGGCAACAGCCUGAUCUGAAAAGACACCAUCAGGGUUGCAGACAGGCCCAGGAUUGUGUGCGGUGACAGAAAACAGAGAUACUGACAGAGAUACCAGCGCCAUAUUAUGCCAAGGAUAUUCUAACGCUGCCUGCGGCUCUAACGAAAGCUGACAUCACUCCCCAUCACUUGGGGUCGUCUCUGCCUGCCCCUGCAGAACAUCUCUCCCCAGACAUCAUUACAAAACUCACUGUGGCUGCAAAGGUCCUGGCAGUUCUGUUCUGCUGGAGUGGUGGGGUCAAGGGGCCUAAGGAUAACCUCAGUCAAUCUAAAUUUGGAAUUUGCAGGAGGAGCACGCCCGACCCCACUGAUAUCUUGGCUACUUGAGGUGAUCAGAAGGCCAUUGUGUGAGGAGCUGUCACCUUGAAUAAACUCCCAGAAAGGACGGCACUCAGUCUGUGGGCUGCUCCAGGAAGGCGUGGGGACGGCCUGGCAGUUGAAAAUGAGAUCCAGCUGCUGGUGCUCGCCCGGGGAGAAAGGUGCUCUGGCUAGCAAUGCUAAGAAUCGGCUGAAAUUGUCAAACUCAAACCAUCUCCAGCAGCUGAAAUUAAGCGAGAAUUGCCUCUGUGAGUCUCCUCCCAGAGCUCAGAGUUGGGAUGUGAUUACCCCCAAUAUGUGACUUUUGUGUUCAAAAAUAAAUAAAUAAAAUUAACCAGGAAAAGCAAACAUGCACGAAACAGCACAGUCCCAUGUGUGGCCACAGGCCUUUAUUUAUCAUGAAGGUUAUUUGUAAAAUAUGAGGCUCUGCUCGUAAAUUAAGUGAGGUGGCAUUGUGUUUCUCUCUCCCUCGUCCUCCCCACAGCCCUUCUUCUCCCGCCAUGGCAACUGCCAUCAACUGUGAAAAUUACGGAGGGAACAGUUUGCUUGCAAAGAACAUUUUGAUGGGGAGGCACUCCGAGGCUGGAAUUUGGGAACCCGCUGGUUUGUGACUCAGUAGGCAAUGGUUUCUCUACACAUCUGCAACGGAUUCAUUUGUUUCUAUCUCUUCAAACUACAACUUCUUGGGACUGGAGGGGGAACAACACAUUUAAUGGCAUAUGCAGUGUUUUUAAUUAAAAGAUCUGGCUUUGGCCAUAGUAAGUAAAGCAGGCUUGCCCUGUGUCAGGCUGACGUGCAGCUGUCUGUGUGGGGUUUCUUUUCGAA
This 3300-nucleotide long non-coding RNA is filed under the name Homo sapiens (human). Its description in RNAcentral is "HSALNT0164686". The record is from RNAcentral. Lineage: Eukaryota; Metazoa; Chordata; Mammalia; Primates; Hominidae.